UACAGAGGUCUCAAGCGUUGUUCGGAUUCAUUGGGCGUAAAGGGUGCGUAGGCGGCGCGGUAAGUCGGGUGUGAAAUCUCGGAGCUUAACUCCGAAACUGCAUUCGAUACUGCCGUGCUUGAGGACUGGAGAGGAGACUGGAAUUUACGGUGUAGCGGUGAAAUGCGUAGAUAUCGUAAGGAAGACCAGUGGCGAAGGCGGAUCUCUGGGCCUUACCUGACGCUCAGGCGCGAAAGCUAGGGGAGCGAACAGG
Molecule: ribosomal RNA, 253 nt
Filed under: uncultured bacterium
Lineage: Bacteria
Description: partial 16S ribosomal RNA
Rfam family: Bacterial small subunit ribosomal RNA
Source: RNAcentral